Molecule: ribosomal RNA, 253 nt
Filed under: uncultured bacterium
Lineage: Bacteria
Description: partial 16S ribosomal RNA
Rfam family: Bacterial small subunit ribosomal RNA
Source: RNAcentral
UACGGGGGGGGCAAGCGUUGUUCGGAAUUACUGGGCGUAAAGGGCUCGUAGGCGGCCAACUAAGUCUGAUGUGAAAGCCCGGGGCUCACCCCCGGAAGUGCAUUGGAAACUGGUGGACUCGAGUCCCGGAGAGGAGAGUGGAAUUCCUGGUGUAGCGGUGAAAUGCGUAGAUAUCAGGAGGAACACCGGUGGCGAAGGCGGCUCUCUGGACGGUGACUGACGCUGAGACGCGAAAGCGUGGGGAGCAAACAGG